AAGUUAGGGAGAAAAUUUUAGUUGCAAGAAGAGUAGAGGUUCUGAAGAGUUUUCGGGGAAACAAAUUCGGAGCAAGAGAUUAAGUCUGGAAUAGAGAUGGCAAGGAGGAUACGUUGGAAACAGUACUUGAUGGGGAAGACAAUGCUGCAGCUUAGAUUCGCUAGCUUUUAUUAGUUAGCUUUGAUGAACUUUUGUACGUUUAAAGCUUUAAAUUCUAUGUAAUUUCUAGGGAGAAACCCUAAUACUCUAAGUUUUCAAUUCCAUGCUAUUCUAAGGAUGAUUGUAAUCCUUAAA
Molecule: long non-coding RNA, 294 nt
Organism: Vigna angularis (adzuki bean)
Lineage: Eukaryota; Viridiplantae; Streptophyta; Magnoliopsida; Fabales; Fabaceae
Exons: 2
Source: RefSeq, a predicted model, not a curated record